RNAcentral lists this ribosomal RNA (468 nucleotides) under uncultured bacterium. RNAcentral's name for it is "partial 16S ribosomal RNA". It matches the Rfam family "Bacterial small subunit ribosomal RNA", at positions 28 to 507 of the family's 1533-position model. The record is from RNAcentral.
GACGAACGCUGGCGGCGUGCUUAACACAUGCCAGUCGAACGGAAAGGCCCUGCUUUUGUGGGGUGCUCGAGUGGCGAACGGGUGAGUAACACGUGAGUAACCUGCCCUUGACUUUGGGAUAACUUCAGGAAACUGGGGCUAAUACCGGAUAGGAGCUCCUGCUGCAUGGUGGGGGUUGGAAAGUUUCGGCGGUUGGGGAUGGACUCGCGGCUUAUCAGCUUGUUGGUGGGGUAGUGGCUUACCAAGGCUUUGAUGGGUAGCCGGCCUGAGAGGGUGACCGGCCACAUUGGGACUGAGAUACGGCCCAGACUCCUACGGGAGGCAGCAGUGGGGAAUAUUGCACAAUGGGCGGAAGCCUGAUGCAGCAACGCCGCGUGCGGGAUGACGGCCUUCGGGUUGUAAACCGCUUUCGCCUGUGACGAAGCGUGAGUGACGGUAAUGGGUAAAGAAGCAACGGCUAACUACGUG